UUUAAUCAUGCAGCCGGAUUGGGCAGACUUUGCUGCCAUCUCAUCUUAGCGAUCUUUGUUGUAUGAGUAUUGUCAACUUAUGCAGACUUUGCUCAGUGCUUCCGAUUUAGGCAGGCUUCACUUUGUGCUACCGCCUUAGGUACACUUGUGUUCGGUGUUGUUGGCUUACGCAUGCUUUGCUUGGUGUGGCCAACUUAGGCAGACUUUCACUUCAUGCUCCUGUCUUAGGUAAGCUUAUGCUCGGUGCU
RNAcentral lists this long non-coding RNA (248 nucleotides) under Vigna radiata. RNAcentral's name for it is "long non-coding RNA (VRAD_LNC005695)". The record is from RNAcentral. Lineage: Eukaryota; Viridiplantae; Streptophyta; Magnoliopsida; Fabales; Fabaceae.